This 1216-nucleotide long non-coding RNA is filed under the name Homo sapiens (human). RNAcentral's name for it is "HSALNT0204438". The record is from RNAcentral. Lineage: Eukaryota; Metazoa; Chordata; Mammalia; Primates; Hominidae.
CUGCUCCACAGCGCCCAGUCCCAUCAACCACCCAAGGGCUGAAUUGUGCGGGCGCAGGGCACGGGACUGGCAGGCAGCUCCACCGGUAGCCCCGGUGCGGGAUCCACUGGGUGAAGCCAGCUGGGCUCCUGAGUCUGGUGGGGACGUAGAGAACCUUUAUGUCUAGCUCAGGGAUUGUAAAUUCACCAGUCGGCACUCUGUAUCUAGCUCAAGGUUUGUAAACACACCAAUCAGCACCCUGUGUCCAGCUCAGGGUUUGUAAAUGCACCAAUCGACACUCUGUAUCUAGCUACUCUGGUGGGGCCUUGGAGAACCUUUGUGUCCACACUCUGUAUCUAGCUAAUCUGGUGGGGAAGGGGAGAACCUUUGUGUCUAGCUCAGGGCUUGUAAAAGCACCAAUCAGUGCCCUGUCAAAACAGACCACUGGGCUCUACCAAUCAGCAGGAUGUGGAUGGCGGGGGUUGGCGGGGGGCAGAUAAGAGAAUAAAAGCAGGCUGCCAGAGCCAGCAGUUGCAACCUGCUCAGGUCCCCUUCUACACUGUGGAAGCUUUGUUCUUUCGCUCUUUGCAAUAAAUCUUGCUACUGCUCACUCUUUGGGUCCACUCUGCUUUUAUGAGCUGUAACACUCACCGCGAAGGUCUGCAGCUUCACUCCUGAAGCCAGUGAGACCACGAGCCCACCUGGAGGAAGGAACAACUCCAGAGGCCCUGCCUUAAGAGCUGUAACACUCACCGCGAAGGUCUGCAGCUUCACUCCUGAAGCCAGCGAGACCACGAGCCCACCUGGAGGAACAAACAACUCCAGAGGCGCCGCCUUAAGAGCUGUAACACUCACCGCGAAGGUCUGCAGCUUCACUCCUGAGCCAGCGAGACCACGAACCCACCAGAAGGAAGAAACUCCGAAAACAUCUUAACAUCAGAAGGAACAAAUUCCAGACGCGCCAUCUUAAGAGCUGUAACACUCACCGCGAGGGGCGUGGCUUCAUGCUUGAAGUCAGUGAGACCAAGAACCCACCAAUUCUGGACACAUUAUGACCUUUGUUUCCUGCCAUGGAAGAAAAUUUAAAUUCCCAGGCUGAAGAAGCAAAUUAGGCCUCUCAAGCAGAAACCAACAGGUCUCAGAGAGAGGAGAACAAGAUUAAACCAAGUGGCCAAGCUGCCCAUGUGGAUAGGUACAAUGAGCAAGAAAUAAACCUUUGUUGUUUGAUGUCAGUGAG